This 928-nucleotide ribosomal RNA is filed under the name Ligilactobacillus animalis. RNAcentral describes it as "bacterial SSU rRNA". It matches the Rfam family "Bacterial small subunit ribosomal RNA", at positions 69 to 965 of the family's 1533-position model. The record is from RNAcentral. Lineage: Bacteria; Bacillati; Bacillota; Bacilli; Lactobacillales; Lactobacillaceae.
ACUUCUUUAUCACCGAGUGCUUGCACUCACCGAUAAAGAGUUGAGUGGCGAACGGGUGAGUAACACGUGGGCAACCUGCCCAAAAGAGGGGGAUAACACUUGGAAACAGGUGCUAAUACCGCAUAACCAUAGUUACCGCAUGGUAACUAUGUAAAAGGUGGCUAUGCUACCGCUUUUGGAUGGGCCCGCGGCGCAUUAGCUAGUUGGUGAGGUAAAGGCUUACCAAGGCAAUGAUGCGUAGCCGAACUGAGAGGUUGAUCGGCCACAUUGGGACUGAGACACGGCCCAAACUCCUACGGGAGGCAGCAGUAGGGAAUCUUCCACAAUGGGCGAAAGCCUGAUGGAGCAACGCCGCGUGGGUGAAGAAGGUCUUCGGAUCGUAAAACCCUGUUGUUAGAGAAGAAAGUGCGUGAGAGUAACUGUUCACGUUUCGACGGUAUCUAACCAGAAAGCCACGGCUAACUACGUGCCAGCAGCCGCGGUAAUACGUAGGUGGCAAGCGUUAUCCGGAUUUAUUGGGCGUAAAGGGAACGCAGGCGGUCUUUUAAGUCUGAUGUGAAAGCCUUCGGCUUAACCGGAGUAGUGCAUUGGAAACUGGGAGACUUGAGUGCAGAAGAGGAGAGUGGAACUCCAUGUGUAGCGGUGAAAUGCGUAGAUAUAUGGAAGAACACCAGUGGCGAAAGCGGCUCUCUGGUCUGUAACUGACGCUGAGGUUCGAAAGCGUGGGUAGCAAACAGGAUUAGAUACCCUGGUAGUCCACGCCGUAAACGAUGAAUGCUAAGUGUUGGAGGGUUUCCGCCCUUCAGUGCUGCAGCUAACGCAAUAAGCAUUCCGCCUGGGGAGUACGACCGCAAGGUUGAAACUCAAAGGAAUUGACGGGGGCCCGCACAAGCGGUGGAGCAUGUGGUUUAAUUCGAAGCAACGCGAA